Drosophila subpulchrella is the source of this 512-nucleotide long non-coding RNA. RefSeq lists it as uncharacterized. NCBI's taxonomy places the organism in Eukaryota, Metazoa, Arthropoda, Insecta, Diptera, Drosophilidae. The transcript is spliced from 4 exons. The record is from RefSeq and is a predicted model, not a curated record.
AGUUUCGGUCGAUAUAUGCACAUUGUAAGAGAACCUUUCGUUUAGACAACAUCUGUUUUGUUUUGUCUUGGAUUUUUCCAAAGUUAAAUUUUUGUGUAAGAUGUAAAACAUCAAAUUUUGUGAAAAUCCUAAUUCCAAUGAUGGAAAAAAUGAUCUUCGACACACACCCAAAUGGCUUGCUUGCACUCCGCGGACUUGACGAUACAAAAUAACAAUUUACAUCCGAUUUGUACACCGUUUGCACAAUUUGUCAGCACAACUUUAAAUAAGACCCAAUACUAACGACUUGUUCAUACUCCCAAAAUCCUGGUUGCCCAUACGUUGGAAUUAGGAAAUCGCCUUUAUCGCAUAUUAAUAAUACAAGGCUAUUACAAACUACACUUCAAGUUAAAUAGGCCGUCUCUCCCAGUGGUAUAAUCUCGCGGUCACAUCACUACGUGAAAUACGAUACAGCUUAGCGAAAUGUCAAUUUAUUUCUAGUUUACAAAUAACUAAUGUGUAUGUAUGCAGUA